Molecule: ribosomal RNA, 122 nt
Filed under: Herpotrichiellaceae sp.
Lineage: Eukaryota; Fungi; Ascomycota; Eurotiomycetes; Chaetothyriales; Herpotrichiellaceae
Description: partial large subunit ribosomal RNA
Rfam family: Eukaryotic large subunit ribosomal RNA
Source: RNAcentral
AGUAACGGCGAGUGAAGCGGCAACAGCUCAAAUUUGAAAUCUGGCCUCUUUUGGGGUCCGAGUUGUAAUUUGUAGAGGAUGUUUUGGGUACCGCACUGGUUUAAAUUUCUUGGAACAGAAUG